CCAGGCGUUAUCCGGAUUUAUUGGGUUUAAAGGGAGCGUAGGCUGGAGAUUAAGUGUGUUGUGAAAUGUAGACGCUCAACGUCUGAAUUGCAGCGCAUACUGGUUUCCUUGAGUACGCACAACGUUGGCGGAAUUCGUCGUGUAGCGGUGAAAUGCUUAGAUAUGACGAAGAACUCCGAUUGCGAAGGCAGCUGACGGGAGCGCAACUGACGCUUAAGCUCGAAGGUGCGGGUAUCAAACAGGAUUAGAUACCCUGGUAGUCCGCACAGUAAACGAUGGAUGCCCGCUGUUGGUACCUGGUAUCAGCGGCUAAGCGAAAGCAUUAAGCAUCCCACCUGGGGAGUACGCCGGCAACGGUGAAACUCAAAGGAAUUGACGGGGGCCCGCACAAGCGGAGGAACAUGUGGUUUAAUUCGAUGAUACGCGAGGAACCUUACCCGGGCUUGAAUUGCAGAGGAAGGAUUUAGAGAUAAUGACG
This 478-nucleotide ribosomal RNA is filed under the name uncultured bacterium. RNAcentral describes it as "bacterial SSU rRNA". It matches the Rfam family "Bacterial small subunit ribosomal RNA", at positions 534 to 1014 of the family's 1533-position model. The record is from RNAcentral.